GAUGAACGCUGGCGGCGUGCCUAAUACAUGCAAGUCGAGCGAACAGACGAGGAGCUUGCUCCUCUGACGUUAGCGGCGGACGGGUGAGUAACACGUGGAGAACCUACCUAUAAGACGGGGACAACUUCGGGAAACCGGUGCUAAUACCGGAUAAAAUAUUUAACCGCAUGGUUCAAGAGUGAAAGACGGAAUUGCUGUCACCUAAAGAUGGACCGGCGCGGCAUUAGUUAGUUGGUAAGGUAACGGCAUACAAAGGCAAGGUACAGAAGCCGACCUGGGAGGGUGACCGGCCCAAUGGGACUGGGGCACCGGCCCAGAUCCUACGGGAAGGAGCCGGAGGGGAAUCUUCGGCAUUGGGGGAAAGCUGACCGGGGCACCGCGGGGGAGGUGAUAAAGUUCUCCGGAUCGAAAACCCCGGUUGUUAGGGAGGACCAAAGGGGUAAGUAAAUACGCACGUAUUGACGGUAACUAACCAGAAAGCCACGGCUAACUACGUG
Molecule: ribosomal RNA, 497 nt
Filed under: uncultured bacterium
Lineage: Bacteria
Description: partial 16S ribosomal RNA
Rfam family: Bacterial small subunit ribosomal RNA
Source: RNAcentral